UCAUUUGGUUUCGAUAUGUA
Molecule: non-coding RNA, 20 nt
Filed under: Arabidopsis thaliana (thale cress)
Lineage: Eukaryota; Viridiplantae; Streptophyta; Magnoliopsida; Brassicales; Brassicaceae
Source: RNAcentral